This 474-nucleotide ribosomal RNA is filed under the name Streptococcus mitis. Its description in RNAcentral is "bacterial SSU rRNA". It matches the Rfam family "Bacterial small subunit ribosomal RNA", at positions 28 to 487 of the family's 1533-position model. Lineage: Bacteria; Bacillati; Bacillota; Bacilli; Lactobacillales; Streptococcaceae. The record is from RNAcentral.
GACGAACGCUGGCGGCGUGCCUAAUACAUGCAAGUAGAACGCUGAAGGAGGAGCUUGCUUCUCUGGAUGAGUUGCGAACGGGUGAGUAACGCGUAGGUAACCUGCCUGGUAGCGGGGGAUAACUAUUGGAAACGAUAGCUAAUACCGCAUAAUAGUAGAUGUCGCAUGACAUUUGCUUAAAAGGUGCAAUUGCAUCACUACCAGAUGGACCUGCGUUGUAUUAGCUAGUUGGUGAGGUAACGGCUCACCAAGGCGACGAUACAUAGCCGACCUGAGAGGGUGAUCGGCCACACUGGGACUGAGACACGGCCCAGACUCCUACGGGAGGCAGCAGUAGGGAAUCUUCGGCAAUGGACGGAAGUCUGACCGAGCAACGCCGCGUGAGUGAAGAAGGUUUUCGGAUCGUAAAGCUCUGUUGUAAGAGAAGAACGAGUGUGAGAGUGGAAAGUUCACACCGUGACGGUAUCUACCAGA